AUGUUGUAUGAAAGGAGAGAAGGUUAGCACUCCCCUUGACAAGGAUGGAAGAGGCCCUCGGGCGUGUCAACACUCUUACGGUUAAGGCAUGCCACCUUCUUCG
This 103-nucleotide non-coding RNA is filed under the name Zalophus californianus (California sea lion). The record is from RNAcentral. Lineage: Eukaryota; Metazoa; Chordata; Mammalia; Carnivora; Otariidae.